This 1117-nucleotide long non-coding RNA is filed under the name Lupinus angustifolius (narrow-leaved blue lupine). RNAcentral describes it as "long non-coding RNA (LANG_LNC000229)". Lineage: Eukaryota; Viridiplantae; Streptophyta; Magnoliopsida; Fabales; Fabaceae. The record is from RNAcentral.
UUCAAAACAGUUUAGCAGAUCCAGAGCUCGGUGAAUGCACCAUGAAGGAGGUUCCUGUUGAAGUGAAAAACAAACCAAAGAGUUCUGAAGAGACAAUACAUGAUCUGGUUCUUGAAGGAGAAAAAGUUUCAGCUCUAAACAGCUUAGAUAAGACUGCAGAUGAUAAUGUCGUCUCUAAAGUGAGUGGCAAUGAAGUAGAGAGCGAUGCUGAACCUUCUGCUGAUAUAUCUGACAUUAAAAUCAUUGCAUCAGAGGGCAAAGCUGAGCCUUCAAACAACGCCGUGGAAAGUGAAGGUGAACCUUUUAUUAAUAUCCCUGACAAGAAAAACAAUGUCGUGAAUAGUGAAACUAAACCUUCAGUUCAAGGUGAAAUUUCUGUUGAAGGCGAAGUUGGCAAUCGUGAAGAGGGAAACACAAGACCUGUACAAGAAGGAUCUACUGCUGCAGAUAGUUUUGAUGGGCAGAAUGUGGGUUCAGAGGUAGUGAAAAAGCCUUUCUACUAUCUGAUAAGGCUUCCAAGAUACGACGAUGAUGAGAAUAUACAAGAGCAGAUAAAUGAUGCUCUUAAGCAGGUAGAAGAAAAGACAGAACUUCGUGGCAAAAUUAGAGCUGAAAUCAACAGUAGAAAGGUCAGCAAUCAGUGCAUACAACAUACUUUAAUAUUAUUUUGAUUGCAAAAGAUGAAAACAUUUCUAUAACUUCGAGACCAAUAUUUGACAUUAGAUAAUUUUUUGAAAAAUGUUAUGCUAUGAUCAGGAUAUCUGUAAUGAGUGUCUUCAGGAGUUUAGAGCUGCAAAAUUAGCAGAGCGAACUGCUCGGGACUUUCUCAAAUCCAAACGUCAAGAAAUAGAUUCAGUUAAAUCCACAAUUAGCAGAUUAAACAAUGCAAUUUCUGUUGGAGAUAUAGAUAACAAGGUUCGCUUUCAAUAUACUUUCAGAAAUAUUUAUAUGAUCUUGAUUCUUCUGUCUGUUUUUGAAGUCUGGAUAUAUGAUUUAUUGGCAGAUAAGAAACAUGGAACACAGGAUCCAGCAUGAAACUCUACCUCUAAAUGAAGAAAAGCAAUUGAUACGUCAAAUCAAGCAAUUGAAGCAGAGUCAUGGGGAGCUUUCUUCUAUA